UAAAUCUCCAGAAAAAAAUCACAAUUAUUUUGAUGUGGCAGAGUUGUAAGCACAACCCUAUGUAUUUUCAUAAAUCGGAGUAUUAUAGAUCCAUUAAUAUUUGUAGUUAAUACUGUAAAAAAAAGUUUUUGGAAAUAUUUCACCCGAGAGGGCUUGUCUGAGAACACAGCCUGCAGAGAAGCCCCUGGGGCCCAGGUUCUGUCACUCUCAGGCAGGUUUUUUUGAUUAUGUAGAUUUUUUCCUACCGCAGUUUCAUAUGCAAAGCAUGCACCAGCCACAGCCGCGCCAGCUCCGAAGCAGUCACUCUGAAACCGAAGCUGGGGACGGUGCAGACUAAAUAAAAUUUCAUUUUGAUUUGGCCUCCCGCUGCGAAUGGGACUGCUUUGUCUCAGCGCCGAACCAGAAAGAAAGUGGAGACUCUGACGACAUGGACAGGGGCCAGCACCCCUGGCAGUGUCCAUUCGGAAUUCUGACCCACCAAACCUGGGACCAUAUGACAUAGCUAUUUUCAAGGGCUCGGCUUUGUGAGAGUUUGCUGUGCAGCCAGAGGUAACAAAAAUGUUCCUGCCCAUUUAAAGGGUGGCAGUCUGGGCAAGGUGAAAAGAAGCUGAAAAUUAGUUCUUGGCAGUGUAGCUGGUAGAACUUUCUCCAACUGUCAUAGAUCCAGCCAGCGGGGAAGAUCACACCUCGAUAAGUAUGUGGCCGUGUGACUGCUCUGAAUACCUGCAAAAUUACUCCUAAGACCUGAAAUCAGACAAAAA
This is a long non-coding RNA of Pipistrellus kuhlii (Kuhl's pipistrelle), 761 nucleotides long. RefSeq lists it as uncharacterized. The record is from RefSeq and is a predicted model, not a curated record. The transcript is spliced from 2 exons. NCBI's taxonomy places the organism in Eukaryota, Metazoa, Chordata, Mammalia, Chiroptera, Vespertilionidae.